ACAGCUCAGAGCCAACCCUUGCACACACACACUGGUUUCAACUCCAUCGUCCAGUGCGGUCGAACAAAUUAGACGCUCCGCUAAAAAAGUACUGAUCUACGAAAAGAUUCGCAGAAUGGCAGCAGUUUCCCAGAAGUGGUACCAGACGUCGAUGGAAAGUUUCAUGAACAGAGUGGCGAUUGUCAGCGUGUCCACUUACAGGGACCGAUACCUGGAGGAGAUGAAGAAAAAUGGGGACCAGACGCCGAAGGCUGGGCUGAAUGGACAAGUCAAGGGCAGCCGUCAAAAUCCAUCAAAAACAUGCCAAAAGUGAAAACCAAUUAAUCGAACAAGGAUUACAGCACAUUGGGAUAUUUUGAAGAUCGAUAAGCACCUGUGAAAUGAAAUGAAAUGAAACGAGCUAGCUUGUGCAAGGAUUAAAACAAAGCACUUUAUUUUUAGAUCUGCUGAAUCCUGAAAUAUUAAUGUUGUUGCCAAGAUUUCUCAAAAUUUGUUAAUGAUGACCUUCAUUUUGCCUUUGAAAGGAAGUUCACUACUUUGUUAAAGAUUUAUAAUUUUUGCUUAUAAAUUUUUCUAUUAAACAGUUAAAUUGAUGCAGU
Long non-coding RNA from Leucoraja erinaceus (little skate), 599 nucleotides. RefSeq lists it as uncharacterized. The record is from RefSeq and is a predicted model, not a curated record. NCBI's taxonomy places the organism in Eukaryota, Metazoa, Chordata, Chondrichthyes, Rajiformes, Rajidae. The transcript has 3 exons.